This 925-nucleotide long non-coding RNA is filed under the name Brachypodium distachyon (stiff brome). Its description in RNAcentral is "long non-coding RNA (BDIS_LNC004691)". Lineage: Eukaryota; Viridiplantae; Streptophyta; Magnoliopsida; Poales; Poaceae. The record is from RNAcentral.
CAACAACGGUUUCCUGGUUCGACGUGGUUCGGAGGUCCUGAGGCAGCAUCGAGCUCCGCUCACGACGCGCCACCGGCGAGUGCAGAGCAAGACAACGACGUUUACCUAUGAGAACUUGCGUGGAAUAUAAGGCCUUGGCCUUCUCGCAAAAAAAAUGGUCGACUGGAGUUCUUUUUUUCUUUUUGAGCAAAAUGGUCGACGUGAGUUGGACGAGCCGGCGAAUAGAUCCCCUGUUUCCCGUCUCUCCUUUUUUUUUUUGAGCGAAGUCCCGAACGCAGAAGCCAGGCCCACGCAGCGUUCCCAGGCCCAAGAAGUCACGAGACAGCCAAUCAUGUUACGUGACUCAAGUCGUUGCUUUUCUUUUUUUUCCUUCCUUAAUUAACUCAAACAGCCAGAUUUUUUUCUCAAUAAAAUGAAGCCAGAUUUAGCAAACCUACUACUCCCUCGUGCCGGAAUCACAUUCGGAAUGAGUACCUAAUUUUUCGCCACGGCGCGCGUCCUACCUCACCUCACCAUGGCCUACCAAGAGCUCCGCCAAAACCUUGCUGAAAAACAACAACCGCCGCCGCCACUGCUUACUCCCGGUCAAGAAAAGAACUUUUUUUUUUCGUUCUUCUACCGAUCCGAGCCGGACCGCACCAGCCGGCCUGAAUCGCACCCCGCCGAGCCAGCUCCGCCCGGAGCAAAACCCAGUGACAAGGAUGGCCCGAUCUUCUCGUUGAGCUCGUAGUAGAUGGAUGAUAAUUCGCGAAACGCUGACGAAUCUCUGACUGGUCUCUCGUUGCCAUGCAACAAUUCUUAACCCUAAUUGAUAUUCGCAACACCACACGCUUGUGCACGUAGUCGCCGACCACGAAGCGGUCUGCAAUCUAUCAAUUUUCAAUGGAACAAUAGAUAGCACUCAAAUCUUCAGUAGCAACACACC